Molecule: long non-coding RNA, 2183 nt
Organism: Dreissena polymorpha
Lineage: Eukaryota; Metazoa; Mollusca; Bivalvia; Myida; Dreissenidae
Exons: 3
Source: RefSeq, a predicted model, not a curated record
GCUUUCAUUAUACUAUUUGAGUUGUGAUUCACUUUCGUUACAUAAAUGAGAAGUGUACUGCGAAACUUUUCUUGUACAAUAAUGAUAUUCACUCGGCAAUAUUGAUGGGAAAUCUUUAUAUUCUUGGAGAAAGGGCAAAUUAAGGGAGUGCCAUAACUCGAAGAAACUAUUUCUAAUUGCGUUUGACGAAUGCACUUUAAAAAUUGACACACGGACUGAUGAUCAUCUUUUGUAAGAAAAUCGUGAUGUAAACUUCCUCCGCAAAAUACGAUGAUGCGUUACCUGAUGUGCAUGGUAGUCGUAACGUUGCUGCUGAGUCAAGUGGCCGACGGGAAUGCAUCCGGACUAUGUGGGAGGCGACGUUGUCCACCUGGUUUCCGGUGUGUUCGCUAUGGAAGCUUACUCAGGUGUCAAGACCGACUGUACAUUCGGCGACUUUCAACCUCUGCACAAGACGAAUGCCAAUGUUCCGGACAGAGUUGUCAUCAAUGCGACGUCACUGAUGUCACAAUAAAGCAAGAACGAACCGGAAGCAGCGGCCACGGUGCCUCUAUUAGACUGGAAAGUUUCAUAGAAAUUCCUCUGUAUUUCGUUGUUGUUUUUUUUUUCAAUUAAACACGAAAACUUACAUAGCUGUAAUUUGGUAGUUUUAUUUCAAUAGAUUCUCUAUCUCCGAAAGCGCGUUUCCUCGCUCUAUGAUGCCUACGUUACAUCCGGCCACCAUAAAAAUUGGCGCACGAUUAAAAGUCGUGAAAACCGACAAAAUGGUACUGUUCUCGGUGGUUAUAAGUGAUAUCUUUAGAUAUUGCAACUUGUUACGCUUUCCUUUUUCAGCCGCGAAAACGGCACUAGGUUAUCAUUACACAAGAAUACUCAAAAGAAAUGUACUGUAAUAAUUACAUAUUUUGUUUUCCCAACCUACAUAUACAGUGAUUUUCCUUGAUUUAUGCGUCUCUUAAUUCAUAUUAUUUUAUUUGUUCAGUAAGAAAAUAUCAGUUCCUUAUUCGAUUUGAAUAAGGAAUAAGGAACCAGUUCCUUAUUCCUUAUUCAAACCGAAUAAGGAACUAUGAUAUUAAUUAAAACAAAGCAGAAAUGUACUGCAAUAAAUAUGUGUCACACCCGACAUACAUUUACAAUAAUUUUCGUUGAGUUAUUCGUCUCGUUGGUUGAUGUUGACUUAUAAUUUAUGAAAAGAAAAUUCCAGUUCCUUAUUCGAUUUGAAUAAGGAAUAAGGAACCAGUUCCUUAUUCCUUAUUCACACUGAAUAAGGAACUGGAUAAUCAUCACUUAAAACUUAGUAGAAAUGUAUUGCAAUUAGAAUUUUACAUAAUCAAUCAAUAUAUAAAUAAUAUGUUCAUUUAUAUGUGUUUAAUUUUGGAUCAAUAUCAUUGAUGUUUAAGUAAGAAAAUGUCAGUUCCUUAUUCGGCUUGAAUAAGGAAUAAGGAACUGGUUCCUUUUUCCGUAUUCAGCCUCGAAUAAGGAACUGGAUUGUGAAUUAUGAAAGAUUGAUUUUUUUUAUCUCAUACAUGUAAAGUAAUAGUAUAUGCUUUAGGUUUUGUUGAUGUGAAAUUAGUAUUCGAAUUAGAAAAUAUCGGUUCGGUUUAAAGAAAUACUAUGCAAGCGCGAAAAGAAACAUGGAUAUGUAACGUAAUACAUAAAGUAAAUGUAUUCGAGUUAUUUUGUGUUGAUUUAUUUCAGAAAUCUUUGCAUUAUUGUUCUUUAAAACCCUACAACAAAUAUGUUACGCGUGAAUAAGGAAUAAGGAACAGUUCCUCAUUCCUUAUUCGAAAAAGGAAUAAGGAACUAGGAAAAAGGAACCAACUUAUCACCCAUGGACAGGAAAGCCAUGUUACUGGGAAAUACGGGAUAUACGGACGAUGAUGGGAAAUAAUCGUUUCCAAAAAUGAGUUUCUAUCCGAUGAACCGAACAUCAUUUAUGAUUACUAUAAAACUUCGUUUGAACAUACAAGAAAUAUGUUGUUAUUUAUAUCCACAUGUUUAUUUUAGUUUGUAUGUAAGUAGGAAGAUAUGUGGACAUUAAAGAGAAUGAGAACUGAUUUAUAGUGCAGACUAUUGCCUUGACCUUUUUAAUUACUUUAUAACAAUGACCGGUCUUAUUGUUACAUGCAUAUACAAUAAAUUUUGUUAAGAUUUUUAGUUCAGAUUAAAAAAAAAUAGUUUGG